RNAcentral lists this ribosomal RNA (565 nucleotides) under Naganishia globosa. Its description in RNAcentral is "partial large subunit ribosomal RNA". It matches the Rfam family "Eukaryotic large subunit ribosomal RNA", at positions 98 to 653 of the family's 3401-position model. Lineage: Eukaryota; Fungi; Basidiomycota; Tremellomycetes; Filobasidiales; Filobasidiaceae. The record is from RNAcentral.
GCGGGAAGAGCUCAAAUUUGAAAUCUGGUAGCCUUCGGUUGCCCGAGUUGUAAUCUAGAGAAGUGUUUUCCGCGUUGGCCCAUGUACAAGUCCCUUGGAACAGGGCGUCAUAGAGGGUGAGAAUCCCGUCCUUGACAUGGACCCCCAAUGCUUUGUGAUACACUUUCAACGAGUCGAGUUGUUUGGGAAUGCAGCUCAAAAUGGGUGGUGAAUUCCAUCUAAAGCUAAAUAUUGGCGAGAGACCGAUAGCGAACAAGUACCGUGAGGGAAAGAUGAAAAGCACUUUGGAAAGAGAGUUAAACAGUACGUGAAAUUGUUGAAAGGGAAACGAUUGAAGUCAGUCAUGCUCUUUGGAUUAAGCCGUUCUGCGGUGUAUUUCAUUGAGCGGGGUCAACAUCAGUUUUGAUCGCUGGAAAAGGGCAGGAGGAAGGUAGCACUCUCGGGUGAACUUAUAGCCUCUUGUCGUAUACAGUGAUUGGGACUGAGGAACGCAGCAUGCCUUUUGGCCGGGAUUCGUCCACGUACAUGCUUAGGAUGUUGACAUAAUGGCUUUAAACGACCCGUC